GUCCACUGUGAGAGACUUAAUCGAAAAAAAAAUCUGAGAAACACAUAAUUUUAAUGCUUCUGCUGCAAAUAAAUAUUUGAACUGCUUUAUAUCAGCUAGAAUUCUAACCCUCAGUUCACCUUCACUCCUGUUUGAGGUUGUUUAAAGACUCUUGUUGUCCAUUUAUUACCAGUAAGACUGCAACUACUAACAUGGCCAAGACCAAAGAGCUGUCCAAAGACAGUAAAGACAAAAGUGUAGACCUCCACAAGGCUGGAAAGGGCUAUUUUCACCAAAUUGCCAAGCAGCUUGGUGAAAAAAGAUCCACCGUUGGAGCAAUGACUAGAGAAUGGACGAAGCUAAACAUGAUGACUCAAUGUCCCUUGGACUGGGGCUCCAUGCAAGAUCUCAUGUCAUGGGGUCUCAGUGAUUCUGCAGAAAUACAGAGAAAUUAUUAGAAAAAUCAUAUAAGUUGAUUUUUUUUUUUUGCUUAUGUCUCCCAGAGUGAACAUGCACCUAAGAUGAGAGUUUCCCUCCAUGAUUUCUAAGUGGGAGAACUUCCAAAAUCGCAGGGUGUUCGAAUUCUUAUUUGCCUCACUGUAUAUUUGAUAUAUUUUUUGAAAACAUAUUUCUCCUAAAAAAAAAGGAUUACAGAAGAUGUUUGGUGCCUAUUACAAUAAUACAAUAUUCUUCUAAAUUUGAAAAUCCCAAAUCUCCUCCAUUACAUUAUCUUUUAUGAGUGCAGUCUAAGCAAAUAUAGAAAAGAUUGUUGUUGGUUUAAUGCACGGAUGACACUUUUCAACUAAUUAAACAAAGAUGGCAUAGCGUUUAUUUUUUUCAAGUCAAAAAGUCUUUCUCUGAGCCUGUUCUUUUCUUUUCUUUUUAUCUGUUUCACUGUUUUAGUAUAUAUAUUGAAGCAACUUUGCACUGUUUAGGGUGUUGGCUAAAAACAUUUUCACACAUAAAUAAAUGAAAAAAAGAUUGAUAGACUAAACUGCUGAAGUAGUUUCUGAAGAGCAUCAGGAGUUUAUCCAAGAGUUAACCGUUUUUGUGCAGAGUAAGUUUGCGUGCUUAUUUCCCAUGAGCCCCUUCUCUUUCUCUUCAGCUUACAGCACCUCACAACCCCAACCAGACAAUGGCUGUGUGACAAAAAUGGCGAUCAAAAAUGGAGCUAUCUAGUCGUACAGUUUUGAGCCAGAUGUCAACUCAGACGAGGAAGACGCAGGCGUAUAUGGAUCCAGUCAUCUAAAAGUGGAUGCAUUUGAAUGGAGCAGAGCAGGGGAACUCAGUUGUUGUUACUACGUAACCACUAUAAGCUUUUAAAUCUGCUCCUGAUUUACCACGGCAUGAAUGGAGAAAUACUCAGAAAUGCUUUUUUUAAUCUUAAUUUUGCUAAUAUAUGUCUUCCAGCAUCAGAAAAAGGUUACAACAUGUUCAAAACACCAAAAAGACUUUGCUUUAAUUUGAAAAAAAAAAAUUUAAGGUGUGAUUUUUGUAACAGCAUUUUUAAAACUGUGUUCUGUCUUCAUGGUCUUAAAUAAAUUUAAAAAAAAAAGAAAAAAGCAAACCAAUCGAAGCAGAACAAACCUUUUGGCAUACAUCGUGUGUAGAACAAUAUUAUUCUAUUUAAACAGUUUGCAAUCUCUUCAGCUUCUCUUUUAAACUUCUCUUUUUGCUGCUUCACAACUUUUUUUUUCUGUGUUGAUUUCAGCAUAAAGAAGAAAGUUUAUGGUGACUAAUACGUUGCUGAAAACUUUUCAUAGUCACAUUCCGUCAUUAAAAUAGAUCGGAUACUCUGUUUAAAAAUAAAUAAACCAAGGAAUGCAACAUAGACAAUUUGUUGAUCAAGCUGCUAUUGGGAAAUACAAAGUAAAAAAUGUGGUUCAAAAAGCGUUUUAUUCCUUUGGUUGAUGUUUUUCUCCUUAAAAAAAUACCAGUACAAGAAGGCGUCACACUUGAAACUGAUUUUUAAAUUUAACCAAACACCAUCAGGAAAUCUUGUGCGUCAUGCAUGAGUAAGAUUUGUUCAAAUCUGUAUACACUUGUUUUGCAAGGGUUUAGUUACUCAGUCAAGCAUAAAACCUUACAGACAUUUGAAACUUGACUGCACAUGUUUGGCCGUCCCAUCUGCUGCUUCCUCUUUUGGCCUUCAUAUCAGGGACUUUGCAUUUGCUGCUACUGACUCUAUGUGUGUUCAUUUGGCGGACAGACUCAUAACGGAUCCUUUAGGAUGGAUUUACUUGGGAGGCUUUGAGGAGCAGCUCAGCAGUCAUGACGGCAUCAACAAAAUGCACGGUUGGUUUCGGAAACUCUUGAAGACAAGAGGAAGUUUGUCAAUACAAAAUAAAAAAGACGAGAUCAUAACCAAAGACUCAGUGACGUCUGCCGGCUCUUUAUCAUAUUCGUCUGCUUCACCGCUGCCUGCAGUGCCACCAGGGAAAUCCCCGUCCAAACCACGGCAACAACAGCUUGUUCUCGCAUCUGAGCAGAGAUGGAAAAAGAAAUAUGACCUUUUCGUGUGCCACAGUUCCACUGACUCAGACAUGGAGGAGGCCACGCAGCUGGUUUUGUCUCUCGAGGCGGCGCCCCAUGAACUACGGUGCUUUUUGUGGCACCGUGAUGCUUGCCCUGGGGCUGCAGUCACUACAGAGUUUGGUCAUGCACUGGAGGACAGUCAUGUAUGGGCGUUACUCAUCACCCCCAGCUUUGUGCAGGAUGACUGGUGCAAAUACAUGAUGCACCAAGUUUUGGCAGAGGGGCCCAUGUCCAACAGGAUGAUUCCCUUGCUUCAGAACUUACCACACACUCAGUAUCCAAUGGAACUGAGAUUCUACUACUACAUUGAUUUGAGCAGGAACCCACACAGAGGCCACAACAUUGUCAACAAGACUGUGCUGGGGUAUUUGGAGAAUCUGGUCAAAGAAGAGCUGAAAUCUGAUCACAAGCUGGACGAGUCUGAAAGAAUCUCACAGAAAGAGACGUCAAAGCAAUGUUCCACUGUUACUUCAACGGAUGAGGAGGAGAAACAGACUUUACAAUGACUCUCAAGCUAAGAUUUGAAACCCAAAACAAGUCUGCUGCUACUGACCACGAACCAUUUUGAGGGGAUUUUGAUGAUGGUUUGGUUGCCUUGGUGAACCCCAUACGUCAUAUGCCAAGCAAGAGAAAGCAAAAAGAACGAGAGAUGAAAAGUGUAGCAGGAAGUCACGGGGUUACAGCCCAGAGAAACUAUGCCUAUAGAUUACAUGCAUACCCACAGCAGGUUCUUCUUUCUCACAGUUGAAUUCUCACAGUCAGUUGUUUUUUUGUUUCAUUUAGAAAUGUUUUUUAUCUUUACUGCUCACUUUCUUUAUCUUACUCAACUCUUUCCACCUACCAGUCACAUAAUGUUGAUUAGAUAACGAUUAUACAUCUACUGUAGAGGUAUACAGCAGUGGUUUCCAACCGGCGCCAGUUCCAUGGGUCACUUGGUACCGGUCCGUAGACAGAAAAUAAUAAAUAUACGUCCUGACUUACUGGUAUUUUAUUUCCGUUUUGUUAAUUUUCUGAU
This is an RNA transcript of Oryzias melastigma (Indian medaka), 3529 nucleotides long. It is a transcript of the gene named toll-interleukin 1 receptor (TIR) domain containing adaptor protein, with no coding region annotated. The transcript is spliced from 4 exons. Lineage: Eukaryota; Metazoa; Chordata; Actinopteri; Beloniformes; Adrianichthyidae. The record is from RefSeq and is a predicted model, not a curated record.